UCCCUGGUGGCUCAGAGGUUAAAGCAUCUGCCUGCAAUGCAGGAGACCUAGGUUCCAUCCCUGGGUCGGGAA
RNAcentral lists this transfer RNA (72 nucleotides) under Bos taurus (domestic cattle). It matches the Rfam family "tRNA". Rfam says of the family: Transfer RNA (tRNA) molecules are approximately 80 nucleotides in length. The record is from Rfam by way of RNAcentral. Lineage: Eukaryota; Metazoa; Chordata; Mammalia; Artiodactyla; Bovidae. RNAcentral also lists the same sequence under 5 other names.